GGAUAACCUACCCUUAGGACCGGGAUAACCCUGGGAAACUGGGGAUAAUACUGGAUAGGCAAUUUUUCCUGUAAUGGUUUUUUGUUUAAAUGUUUUUUCGCCUAAGGAUGGGUCUGCGGCCGAUUAGGUAGUUGGUUAGGUAAUGGCUUACCAAGCCGUUGAUCGGUACGGGUUGUGAGAGCAAGAGCCCGGAGAUGGAACCUGAGACAAGGUUCCAGGCCCUACGGGGUGCAGCAGGCGCGAAACCUCCGCAAUGUGAGAAAUCGCGACGGGGGGAUCCCAAGUGCCAUUCUUAACGGGAUGGCUUUUCAUUAGUGUAAAGAGCUUUUGGAAUAAGAGCUGGGCAAGACCGGUGCCAGCCGCCGCGGUAACACCGGCAGCUCUAGUGGUAGCAAUUUUUAUUGGGCCUAAAGCGUCCGUAGCCGGUUUAAUAAGUCUCUGGUGAAAUCCUGCAGCUUAACUGUGGGAAUUGCUGGAGAUACUAUUAGACUUGAGACCGGGAGAGGUUAGAGGUACUCCCAGGGUAGAGGUGAAAUUCUGUAAUCCUGGGAGGACCGCCUGUUGCGAAGGCGUCUAGCUGGAACGGUUCUGACGGUGAGGGACGAAAGUUAGGGGCGCGAACCGGAUUAGAUACCCGGGUAGUCCUAACUGUAAACGAUGCGGACUUGGUGUUGGGGUGGCUUUGAGCUGCUUCAGUGCCGAAGGGAAGCUGUUAAGUCCGCCGCCU
This 727-nucleotide ribosomal RNA is filed under the name uncultured archaeon. RNAcentral's name for it is "bacterial SSU rRNA". It matches the Rfam family "Archaeal small subunit ribosomal RNA", at positions 102 to 829 of the family's 1478-position model. The record is from RNAcentral.